Molecule: ribosomal RNA, 382 nt
Filed under: uncultured eukaryote
Lineage: Eukaryota
Description: partial 18S ribosomal RNA
Rfam family: Eukaryotic small subunit ribosomal RNA
Source: RNAcentral
UGUAAGCGUAUACCAAAGUUGUUGCAGUUAAAACGCUCGUAGUCGGAAUUUGGCAGUUCCGGAUGUGUGCACGUCGUGUGCGCACUUCGCGGGGAUUGCUUUUGUGGUCUUGCGUAGGAUGAGGCACUUUUAUUAGUGAACGUCCUCACGCAACCACUUUUUACCGUGAGAAAAUCAGAGUGCUCAAAGCAGGCAUUUGCCGUGAAUGUAUUAGCAUGGAAUAAUAGAAUAGGACUUGGUUCUAUUUUGUUGGUUUGUUGGGACUGAGUAAUGAUUGAGAGGGACAGUUGGGGGCAUUUGUAUUUCGGUGCUAGAGGUGAAAUUCUUAGAUUACCGAAAGACAAACUGCUGCGAAAGCGUCUGCCAAGGAUGUUUUCAUUGA